This 1244-nucleotide ribosomal RNA is filed under the name metagenome. RNAcentral's name for it is "bacterial LSU rRNA". It matches the Rfam family "Bacterial large subunit ribosomal RNA", at positions 1564 to 2818 of the family's 2925-position model. The record is from RNAcentral.
UGAAUACGAGACGCUAAGGCGUUGAAGUAGUGUAUGUCAUACUUCCAAGAAAAGCUUGCACUGUCAUAGAUAAAAAACGCCUGUACCAUAACCGACACAGGUGGGUAGGUAGAGUAUACUAAGGGGCGCGAGAUAACUCUCUCUAAGGAACUCGGCAAAAUAACUCCGUAACCUCGGGAGAAGGAGUGCCUUAUUUAUAAGGCUGCAAUAACAAGAUCCAAGCAACUGUUUAUCAAAAACACAGGUCUCCGCUAAGUCGUAAGACGAUGUAAGGGGGCUGACGCCUGCCCAGUGCCAGAAGGUUAAAGAAGUUGGUUAGCAAUAGCGAAGCUGAUAACUGAAGCCCUGGUGAACGGCGGCCGUAACAAUCACGGUCCUAAGGUAGCGAAAUUCCUUGUCGGGUAAGUUCCGACCCGCACGAAAGGCGUAAUGAUUUGGAUACUGUCUCGGAGAGGGGCUCGGUGAAAUAGACUUGUCUGUGAAGAUGCGGACUACCUGCACCAGGACAGAAAGACCCUAUGAAGCUUUACUGUAACUUGAAAUUGAAAUUGGACUUUAUUCGCGCAGUAUAGGUGGGAGGCGUUGAUUGUAAUCUUGCGGGAUUAUUGGAGCCAUCAGUGAGAUACCACCCUUGUAAUGUUAGAUUUCUAACUUUGAAUCAUUAUCUGGUCAAAGAACAGUUUCAGGCGGGCAGUUUGACUGGGGCGGUCGCCUCCUAAACGGUAACGGAGGCGUACAAAGGUUUCCUCUGAACGGUUAGAAAUCGUAUCUAGAGUGUAAAGGCAUAAGGAAGCUUGACUGUGAGACCUACAAGUCGAGCAGGGACGAAAGUCGGUCCUAGUGAUCUGACGGUACUGAGUGGAAAGGCCGUCACUCAACGGAUAAAAGUUACUCUAAGGAUAACAGGCUGAUCUCCCCCAAGAGUUCACAUCGACGGGGAGGUUUGGCACCUCGAUGUCGGCUCAUCGCAUCCUGGGGCGGUAGUACGUCCCAAGGGUUGGGCUGUUCGCCCAUGAAAGCGGUACGCGAGCUGGGUUCAGAACGUCGUGAGACAGUUCGGUCCAUAUCCGGUGUAGGCGUAGAAUAUUGAGAGGAGCCUUCUUUAGUACGAGAGGACCGAGAGGGACAUACCUCUGGUGUACCAGUUAUCGUGCCAACGGUAAACGCUGGGUAGCUAUGUAUGGAGUGGAUAACCGCUGAAAGCAUCUAAGUGGGAAGCCCACCUCAAGAUAAGUAUUCUCAUC